AGUGAACGCUGGCGGUAGGCCUAACACAUGCAAGUCGAACGGCAGCACAGUAAGAGCUUGCUCUUACGGGUGGCGAGUGGCGGACGGGUGAGGAAUACAUCGGAAUCUACUUUUUCGUGGGGGAUAACGUAGGGAAACUUACGCUAAUACCGCAUACGGCCUACGGGUGAAAGCAGGGGAUCUUCGGACCUUGCGCGAUUGAAUGAGCCAAUGUCGGAUUAGCUAGUUGGCGGGGUAAAGGCCCACCAAGGCGACGAUCCGUAGCUGGUCUGAGAGGAUGAUCAGCCACACUGGAACUGAGACACGGUCCAGACUCCUACGGGAGGCAGCAGUGGGGAAUAUUGGACAAUGGGCGCAAGCCUGAUCCAGCCAUACCGCGUGGGUGAAGAAGGCCUUCGGGUUGUAAAGCCCUUUUGUUGGGAAAGAAAAGCAGCAGGUUAAUACCCCGCUGUUCUGACGGUACCCAAAGAAUAAGCACCGGCUAACUUCGUG
RNAcentral lists this ribosomal RNA (492 nucleotides) under uncultured bacterium. RNAcentral describes it as "partial 16S ribosomal RNA". It matches the Rfam family "Bacterial small subunit ribosomal RNA", at positions 29 to 507 of the family's 1533-position model. The record is from RNAcentral.